UCGGUAUCGACUUUUUUGGUCCUCUUUUUUGAAAAAUAAUAAUCGGUCGACCUCUUGUCUUGAUGCUGUCUGUGUCAUAUGGGUAAGUAAAUUAAUUUAUUGUUUGCCCCUUUAUCAGAGCUCACAUGGAUCACAUCUCCACUGUACCAUCCGGGAUGCUGACAUUUAAGUUUUAUGUGCACAGAUUUUUCAUCCAUUCCAAUAAAGGGACUUGCUUAUAUGUACAGAUAGACUACUGUUAGUAAUAAUAUCUUAGUUUGUACACGCUUUUGCAGAUAUUAAGAGCUCAUCAACUAACUGGAUAUCCUGCGGCCAGCCUUUCACUGAGCCUGCCAUAUUGAAGCCCAAGUUCGGCACAGUUACCGACUAUCAGCUACUUCUAUUGGACAAAUGAGGUAUUUAACCCCUGUCCAAAUAAUGAAUAAUAUAUGGUGUGAGUAUUGAAGAGAUGGAAAAUCAUUUAGGCCUAUAUUUGUACCUUUUUAAGGAGAGUGGAAUUCCACCCUCCUGGAGUGAAUUGUCCCAUUGUUCAGUAGCAACUGUAGCCUAAGUUUCCCUCAUUCCCUGCUGUCCUGGUUGCUCCUCAGAUCCACCCGCUGCUGUUGCAGGAGCGCCAGGCAGUUUGGCUACUACGUCACACCCCCACUGUGCCCACAGACAGCCACACCCCUGGAGACUACACAGCCACACCCCCACUGUGCCCACAGACAGCCACACCCCCACUGUGCCCACAGACAGCCACACCCCUGGAGACUACACAGCCACAGAUGACAGACUACCUGGCAUGAUGACUCCUUGCUGUCCACCUGGCCGUCUGACCUGUUCACCAGACGUGCUACCUGUCCCAGACCUGCUGUUUUCAACUCUCUAGAGACAGCAGGAGUGGUAGAGAUACUCUUAAUGAGCGGCUAUGGACAGCAGGAGUGGUAGAGAUACUCUUAAUGAGCGGCUAUGAAAAGCCAACUGACAUUUACUCCUGAGAUGCUGACUUGCUGCACCUUCGACAACUACUGUGAUUAUUAUUAUUUGACCAUGCUGGUCAUUUAUGAACAUCUUGGCCAUGUUCUGUUAUAAUCUCCACCCAGCACAGCCAGAAGAGGACUGGCCACCCCUCAUAGCCUGGUUCCUCUCUAGGUUUCGGCCUUUCUAGGGAGUUUUUCCUAGCCACCGUGCUUCUACACCUGCAUUGCUUGCUGUUUGGGGUUUUAGGCUGGGUUUCUGUACGGCACUUUGCAAUAUCAGCUGAUGUAAGAAGGGCUAUAAAAAUACAUUUGAUUUGAUCAUCUUUUAGGGAGCGGUAGAGGUGACCAAUAAUGGUUCAUUUGAGAUCAGCUGUGCGUGUGAAUUUAGCGCAUAUUGAUGGUUUUAACGAGACCUCAGUUGUCGAUAAUCUAGUGCCAUCGAUGGUUGCAAUAGGCCUCUUGUUAUUUGGUUAUAUUUCUAUAAGCUACAUUUUGUCGGCUAUCAAUAAUCCCCAAUGAAAGGUGUGAAAACCGAUAAUCCACUGUGUUUACCUGGCUAAAUCAAUUAGAUUUUUUUGUGCCAUCAGUUGAUUGACAGAUGUAGGCCUACUGUGGAAUGAUCAACUUUCCUGCGGUGUGGAUGCUUGCCCAUCUUUUAUAGUUAAACUAUGUAUAAUUUUCAGAGGUGGGUAGAGUACUGAAAAUCUACCUCAAUUGGACCGACCAACCAGUGCUCCCGCACAUUGGCUAACCCGGCUAUCUGCAUUGUGUCCCGCCACCCACCACCCCCCCUUUUACCCUACUGCUACUCUCUGUUUAUCAUAUAUGCAGUCACUUUAACCAUACCUACAUGUACAUACUACCUCAAUCAGCCUGACUAAACGGUGUCUGUAUGUAGCCUUGCUACUUUUAUAGCCUCGCUACUGUAUAUAUCCUGUCUUUUUACUGUUGUUUUAUUUCUUUACUUACCUAUUGUUCACCGAACACCUUUUUUUGCACUAUUGGUUAGAGCCUGUAAGUAAGCAUUUCACUGUAAGGUCUACACUUGUUGUAUUCGGCGCACGUGACAAAGUUUGAUUUGAUUUGAAUACUCAGCUAUGAAAAGCCUCUACAACCACCGAUUUGUUAUUUGAUCCUGCUGGUCAUCUAUGAACAUAUUAAGAUCUUGAAAAACAAUCUGGCCUUAAAUAGCCAUGUACUCUUGUAAUCUCCACCCAGCACAGCCAGAAGAGGACUGGCCACCCUUCAGAGCCUGGUUCCUCUAGGCUUCUUCCUAGGUUCCUGCCUUUUUUCAUGGUGUUUUUCUGAGCCACCGUACUUCUACAUCUCUUGUUGUUUGGGGUUUUAGGCUGGGUUUCUGUAUAGCACUUUGACAUCUGCUGAAGUAAGGGCUUUAUAAAUCAAAUUGAUCGAUUGACUAGAAUGCAAAUCGGACACAUUUCAUCAUUCACCAAAUUGACAUUUGUUUUUGCAUUUUAGCUAUCCCCUAACUAUUUUCCUUCACCUUAACCUACUCCUCCUACGUUAAUUAUCUUAACCUUCUUGCGAAAAGUUUCUUUUAUUGGCUGGCCAAUUCUUCUCCCCCUCGUUUGUGCAGCUAAACGCUGUGAAUAAAAAGAAAAUAUUGAUUUCUAUAUGGCGCAAAAAGUUUACUGUGAUGAUACACUGACUGUGUAUCUUACUCAAGUGUGUGUGCCGUUAUCAGCAGCUUUAUCCACUGGACCGCACAGUUACUGAGAUAACCAUGAAUUUAUUUUGCCUAUUGCUUGACUUGAACAUAUAAUAAACUAAUUGAUCUAAAAAAAAAAAGAUUUUCCCUACUCAAAAAUACAUCUACCCCCUAUACAUAUGGUCUAUUUUAUUAUAAUACACACAAGAAUUCACACGAGAAGCGAUGUAGCCUGCACAUAGCCACCCAGGCUACUUGAACUGGCGUCCAGUAGACCUGCAGUCUAAAUGAUUGUAUAGCCUACAAACACUGCUUCCAGCUGCCUCCUGGCAUCGAUUAUGCAUAUUAAAUAGAUAUGCAAAUCUUCCUGCUGCAUGAUUAUUAUCCUCUUGUGACAAAAUGGUUAAUAUUAAAAUGCUACAUCUGUACGGGUAUAUUCAACACCACUGGUUGGUCAAUCAGUAUAGGUCUUUUCAGUCUCAAACGGCCGUGAUCCUUUGAUUUGAACGCUUUGGGGGCGAUAAAACAACAGAGCCCCAUUCAAUGAGGGGAGUUGUUUAUCUGGCCUGUGGGAUGAGUUUGAACCGGGUAAAAAGUGAUUGCUUUCGUUUUGGAGCCGGGCUGCCUCCUGGGCAUGAGCCAGGUGCCCCGCUCUGAUUGAUUGCGAAGUCUGCUCAAAACAAAAGUGACGUAAUCAAGCACGUGGAGCGAUAAUUAGUAUUCUGUUUUCACAUGCACAAGUGAUUGCUUUUGAUAAAAUCCUGUUAUCUGCCUUCCCAAUGAAAACUAGUUUGAAAAUUCUAAUAUUUAUUGCAUGAACAGAGGUGUAUGUUUCUGGACGAUGCAACUAGCGGCCUUGUUGACAACAUAAUUGAUUUAAGGAGGGCACUCCUCCCUCCUCGCUUUCGGCCAAUGACGGGCCAUUACCUGGUUCAACCGGUCCAGACUAAUAGGAUUCCCUCAAUGAGGAAGCAAAGUGUCCUUCAUGUAAAAUAUACUUUCACAACAGUAUAGGAUCAGUGGUGACCUGUCAUUCAGGGCAGGUUUUUAGCCCCACAUUUUUAACAUAAAAUAUUUUUAUUUUUUGGGCUUGCCUGUUUUGCAUGUUAUUUUUUUGCAUGUUAUUUUUUACAUUAAUACAUGUCACAUAUCAGUUUGUAAUUUGAAAAAAAUAUAUAAUUCAGUUAAUAAAGCUGCAUACACAUGG
Oncorhynchus nerka (sockeye salmon) is the source of this 3838-nucleotide long non-coding RNA. RefSeq lists it as uncharacterized. The transcript has 2 exons. The record is from RefSeq and is a predicted model, not a curated record. Lineage: Eukaryota; Metazoa; Chordata; Actinopteri; Salmoniformes; Salmonidae.